GGUGGAGUGAUUUGUCUGGUUUAUUCCGAUAACGAACGAGACUCUAACCUAUUAAAUAGUGACUGGAUAGCCAAAGUCCAGCGUACUUCUUAGAGGUAUAAGUGGUGUUCAACCACAUGAAAUUGAGCAAUAACAGGUCUGUGAUGCCCUUAGAUGUUCGGGGCUGCACGCGCGCUACACUGAAAGGAUCAGCAUGUUGAUUCCUUGGUCGAAAGGCCUUGGUAAUCCUUUGAAAACCUUUCGUGAUAGGGCUCGGGGAUUGCAAUUAUUUCCCUUAAACGAGGAAUUCCCAGUAAGUAUGAGUCAUCAGCUCAUGUUGAAUACGUCCCUGCCCUUUGUAC
Molecule: ribosomal RNA, 341 nt
Filed under: Nematoda environmental sample
Lineage: Eukaryota; Metazoa; Nematoda
Description: SSU rRNA
Rfam family: Eukaryotic small subunit ribosomal RNA
Source: RNAcentral